CCUACGGGUGACAGCAGUGGGGAAUAUUGGGCAAUGGGCGCAAGCCUGACCCAGCAACGCCGCGUGAAGGAAGAAGGCUUUCGGGUUGUAAACUUCUUUUUUCAGGGACGAAGAAAGUGACGGUACCUGAGGAAUAAGCCACGGCUAACUACGUGCCAGCAGCCGCGGUAAUACGUAGGUGGCAAGCGUUAUCCGGAUUUACUGGGUGUAAAGGGCGUGUAGGCGGGAAAGCAAGUCAGAUGUGAAAACCAUGGGCUCAACCUGUGGCCUGCAUUUGAAACUGUUUUUCUUGAGUACUGGGGAGGCAGACGGAAUUCCUCGUGUAGCGGUGAAAUGCGUAGAUAUGAGGAGGAACACCAGUGGCGAAGGCGGUCUGCUGGACAGCAACUGACGCUGAGGCGCGAAAGCGUGGGGAGCAAACAGGAUUAGAUACCCCUGUAGUC
This 443-nucleotide ribosomal RNA is filed under the name uncultured bacterium. RNAcentral's name for it is "partial 16S ribosomal RNA". It matches the Rfam family "Bacterial small subunit ribosomal RNA", at positions 338 to 795 of the family's 1533-position model. The record is from RNAcentral.